UGUGGCUCAGGGGUAGAGCACUUGCCUUGCAUGCAUGAGGCCCUGGGUUUGAUUCCUCAGCA
Molecule: transfer RNA, 62 nt
Filed under: Dipodomys ordii (Ord's kangaroo rat)
Lineage: Eukaryota; Metazoa; Chordata; Mammalia; Rodentia; Heteromyidae
Rfam family: tRNA
About the family: Transfer RNA (tRNA) molecules are approximately 80 nucleotides in length. Their secondary structure includes four short double-helical elements and three loops (D, anti-codon, and T loops).
Source: Rfam by way of RNAcentral